AGUGGCGGACGGGUGAGUAACACGUAAGAAUUUGCCUUUAGGAGGGGGAUAACAACUGGAAACGGUUGCUAAUACCCCAUAUGCUUUCGAGUGAAACGGUUUUUCCGCCUAAAGAGAAGCUUGCGGCUGAUUAGCUUGUUGGUGAGGUAAUGGCUCACCAAGGCGACGAUCAGUAUCUGGUUUGAGAGGACGAUCAGACACACUGGAACUGAGACACGGUCCAGACUCCUACGGGAGGCAGCAGUGGGGAAUUUUCCGCAAUGGGCGAAAGCCUGACGGAGCAAUACCGCGUGAGGGAUGACGGCCUAUGGGUUGUAAACCUCUUUUUUCAGGGAGGAAUCAAAUGACGUGUACCUGAAGAAUAAGCAUCGGCUAACUCCGUGCCAGCAGCCGCGGUAAGACGGGGGAUGCAAGUGUUAUCCGGAAUCACUGGGCGUAAAGCGUCUGUAGGUGGUCAAAUAAGUCAACUGUUAAAUCUUGAGGCUCAACCUCAAAAUCGCAGUCGAAACUAUUAGACUAGAGUAUAGUAGGGGUAAAGGGAAUUUCCAGUGGAGCGGUGAAAUGCGUAGAGAUUGGAAAGAACACCGAUGGCGAAGGCACUUUACUGGGCUAUUACUAACACUCAGAGACGAAAGCUAGGGUAGCAAAUGGGAUUAGAUACCCCAGUAGUCCUAGCCGUAAACAAUGGAUACUAGAUGUU
This 700-nucleotide ribosomal RNA is filed under the name uncultured bacterium. Its description in RNAcentral is "bacterial SSU rRNA". It matches the Rfam family "Bacterial small subunit ribosomal RNA", at positions 94 to 824 of the family's 1533-position model. The record is from RNAcentral.